Molecule: ribosomal RNA, 292 nt
Filed under: uncultured bacterium
Lineage: Bacteria
Description: partial 16S ribosomal RNA
Rfam family: Bacterial small subunit ribosomal RNA
Source: RNAcentral
GUGCCAGCAGCCGCGGUAAUACGGAGGAUCCGAGCGUUAUCCGGAUUUAUUGGGUUUAAAGGGUGCGUAGGCGGCCUAUUAAGUCAGGGGUGAAAUACGGUGGCUCAACCAUCGCAGUGCCUUUGAUACUGAUGGGCUUGAAUCCAUUUGAAGUGGGCGGAAUAAGACAAGUAGCGGUGAAAUGCAUAGAUAUGUCUUAGAACUCCGAUUGCGAAGGCAGCUCACUAAGCUGGUAUUGACGCUGAUGCACGAAAGCGUGGGGAUCGAACAGGAUUAGAUACCCCGGUAGUCC